This is a long non-coding RNA of Capsicum annuum, 2329 nucleotides long. RefSeq lists it as uncharacterized. The record is from RefSeq and is a predicted model, not a curated record. The transcript is spliced from 2 exons. Lineage: Eukaryota; Viridiplantae; Streptophyta; Magnoliopsida; Solanales; Solanaceae.
CGAACUAUCCAAUAACUGAACCAAAAAUUUCUACAAGUCUUAAAUGAGCUGUAGCAGCUGGAAAGAACUGAAAUGUUGGAAAUGCAUGUAAAUCGGGGAAAUGAUCUAGAGGAUCUUUACACCAGCCCACCACCCAUUUAACCCCAUCUUCUUCUUCACUUCAACAUAACACCAACAACACGCGACAACAUAAACAUUCAUCAGCUCAACAACAUCGACCUAUAUAAACACAAAAUUCCCAAAGGUCCUUUGCCGCCCAGAGUUCCCUCUCUUUAUACAUCUACAUAUGAUAAGCACAAUUUCUGCACUUCGAUCGUUCUAACAUCUGCGACAUUGCAGUAUCCAUGAUAUUUCCUUUUCUAAAAAUUGUCACAAUUUUGCAAAUUCGUUUAGAGAUUGUGCGAAAUCCAACGUGGAACAUUAUCCUCAAAACUGAUUUUGAAUUAUAAAAUUCAAAAACCCCAAUUAUCCCCAAUAUUGAUUUUUACCCUAAUCAUACGAAUUCGGAUGAUUCGAUACAGCAAAAGCUCAUCCAACAAGAUUCCAGAACUCCUAAAUCCCACAUUUAAAUUUCAUUCUCAAAGACCUAAAAUCAUUCCUAUAUAAACCCUUUUACUCCAUCGUUUGACGAGAAGGUUAAAGACAGUCAACAGUAGAGAACUCCAACUGAGAAAGGGAUUUCGCUAAGACUGAAGAUUCUAGUGUCAAGAAAUGUGAUAAGACUCACUUGAUCUCAAAUUUAUAGGCUAAGGAUUGAGCUUGUUUUUGGUGGUGGUACGAAAAAAAUUAGAAGAAGCUGGAAGGCCUGAUAUUGUUGCUCUGAAAUAGUAGUAGCGCCAAAUUUCACACAUGAGCAUGGGAAUGGACUUAAUACUGUUGGCUCUUUUCGUUUAAAUUAUUUCAGCCUGUGUACUAUUUCAAGGGGUUUAAUUCUAAAGUUUCUUCCUUUGCUAUUUGUGAUUCGUUCAUGUCUUUGCGUUAGUUAGGUUAGUUUGAGCAUUAACAUGAGUUUCAAUCAUGUUUGUCUAAGCUUUACUACUAUUUCUUUUUUCCUCUUAUUAGAAAUAUGUAAGAAUUACCUUUCUGUUGAACGCGUUUGUUUAUAUAACUUUGUUCGUUCUUGUCAUUUUUAGCAAAUGGUAUCGCAAAACUCGUCCUACCACUUGGGCAAUUGCUCACUAUUGUUUUGAUUUACGAGUUAAGACAACUUAAAGUUGUUCGAUUUGAAUGGUUAGAGUUUGUCUCUCUUUGAGCUUGUAUUGCUAAUGCGUCGAUUCAAUAGGUCGAAAAUUUGUUUUUAAGGCUAUCUGUUAAAGAGCAGUGACCCCUUUUUUUUAUUCUUUUUCACAUAUUGAAGGCCAUCUCCUUGUAUGAUCUUUGCUUAUGACUCUUUAUUUUGUUUCAAUCAUUUUCCUUUGUCAACAAAUAAAUCUUUAAUUUUUAGGCGAUUGAAUUCAUCCCUAUCUCUCAGUCUUUCCCCUUUUCUUUUUCCCUUAGAAGCCUCCACUGAAUCAUGAAACACUAUGACCAAGUGUAAGUGAAUCCAUGAAAGAGCCUAGAAUUCUCAUCUUUAAGCUUUUUUGAAAAUCUGAAAAUCACUACGCUAUGAGUGUGAGUUCAAUAAGGCCUUUAAGUUAUUUGUUCGUCCUCUCUUUUUAGUUAUUCUUCUUCGAUGGACUUUGUGUGGUAUUAACUACGAAAUUUGCUUAAUGAUUUCUGAUUUUAACUGUAUUCGUUGGUUCGAGUUAUAAAUGGUUACAUUGUAUUAUUCUUAUAAUAGAUUAAAGGUCCUUGAGGGACCGAUUUGAUUUGUACAUAUUGUAACUUUUCAAGAGAUGAUGAAAUAAGUAAGUUUUAAAUUAUUAUAUGGCAAUUCUUCUUGGAUAUGUUUUUGAUUGAAAGAAGUUGGAUUUAGCUUUUUGAUCAAUCAUUGAUUAUUUUUAUGGAAUGAAAGUUACUUAUUUUGCUCUUUAUGUAUUAAUUAGGUUCUAAUCUUUAUAUCUUUUUCUUUGCAUGUGAAACUUUUCCGCAUUCAAAUGGACUUUCUUCACCUCGCAUUUCUCCAAUGGGUCAACAAGGCUCGUUUUUCUUUUAGUUUGAGUCUCCCGACCAAAUGGACUGGAUAGCGUGAAAUGAGCCAAGACCCAUGAAAUUUAAGUUCAUGACUAGUCUUGAUAGGUCAAGCAGAGGCCCAAGUUUCAUCUUUCCUCUCUUUAAUUACUAGUAAUACAUAUUUGUUUAUUUGUAUUAACUCUAAUAUUUUUCUUAACUUAGUUUGAAUUUUCCUUUUGAAUUGGCAAUGUUUUGCAAAUAAAUUCUUUUAUAGAUU